This 627-nucleotide long non-coding RNA is filed under the name Parus major (Great Tit). RNAcentral describes it as "lncRNA (ENSPMJG00000005593.1)". Lineage: Eukaryota; Metazoa; Chordata; Aves; Passeriformes; Paridae. The record is from RNAcentral.
CCCAGUGCCUUUUGCAAAUAAAACCAAAAGCAUGAAUACUAUAACACUAUCUUUUUUCUCUCUUUUUUUUUUUUUUUUUUGGAAUGGGAUUUACCCAGAGUUACCCAGCAAGUCAUGGAUGCAGCUAGAGAAGAAGAAUCUGAUCCCCUGAGACCCACUGCCUCCGCCACACGGGCUGGAGUAAUCACCUAAGUUUGAGAGCUGAAGAGGCACUGGUGAGGCAGAGUCAGAUGUUCAGUCAAGUCACUUCAAAGUAACAAGUUACCACACACCAAGGCCAUUGUAAACGUUCCUGUGAGAGCUCUCAGCCAAGGGCAGAUGCCUGAUUAAUUGAGACAAUUUAGUUCAGAGUGGAAAGGAUCUGUGUGCAGCCAUGGACACUUCUUUGGAGCCAACAUUAUCUCCCUUGUCAGUAUUGCUCCUACACCUGAAUGUUGUCGCCCACAGAAGCAGAAACAUUUGCUGCUGUGUCCUUGUUCCUCAUUUCUCCUCCAGGACUGUGUACAUGCCACAAUUCCAUGUGAAAAAAGAUUGUCAAAGGGGCCUAAAAAGGGCUGCUCAGGAAAUUCCUGGAGUGAAUCACCUGAUUUCAGAAGGAACCAUUUGGCUGGAACAGCGCAGGAGAGC